AUAAAUUGAGCGGUUUCGUCUUGCUUUUGUCCGCUUUCUAGGGUUAGGGUUUCGGCAGCCAUGGCGACGGAGCAGCAGAAGCAGGGAGGAGCAGGAGGCGCGAAGAGGAAGCCGGUGUUCACGAAGGUGGAUCAGCUGAAGCCCGGAACCAGCGGCCACACCCUCACGGCCAAGGUGCUCACCUCCGAGACCGUCCUUCACAAGGGCCGCGCCGGUGCCGCCGCCGUCCACCUCCACCCGACCACGAUCGCAGAGUGCCUCAUUGGCGACGAGACGGGCACCAUUCUCUUCACCGCCCGCAACGAACAGGUUGAUGUGAUGAAACCGGGCACCACAGUCACCCUCCGCAAUGCAAAGAUUGAUAUGUUCAAGGGGUCAAUGAGACUGGCCGUCGACAAGUGGGGGCGCAUCGAGGUCACCGGGCCUGCUAAUUUCACGGUAAAAGAGGACAACAACUUAUCACGGUAAAAGAGGACAACAACUUAUCCCUCAUCGAGUACGAGCUGGUGAAUGUGGCGGACGAGUGACGGGUGCACCCUAUCAGAUGGUCGGUCACAUUUGACCGACCGGAGCCACCGGUUCUACGUCGUCAUCCGGUGAUAGAUUUGAGUGUGCAGGGAGGAGGGUAUGGAGGCAAGUAGUUUGAGGGAGGUAGUCAGGCCAUGUAAACCUUGUAAUCUGUCAGGGCUAAAGCUUUAAGAUUUUCACUGGAUAUUAUUGUCUGAGGCACAGAUUUGGAACUCAGAAAACUGAUUGACACUUUCACAUCUUCUAUCCAGAUACUUCAAAUUAAUUUC
RNA transcript from Musa acuminata AAA Group (dessert banana), 797 nucleotides. RefSeq lists it as uncharacterized. NCBI's taxonomy places the organism in Eukaryota, Viridiplantae, Streptophyta, Magnoliopsida, Zingiberales, Musaceae. The record is from RefSeq and is a predicted model, not a curated record. The transcript is spliced from 2 exons.